This is a non-coding RNA of Leminorella grimontii, 195 nucleotides long. The record is from Rfam. Lineage: Bacteria; Pseudomonadati; Pseudomonadota; Gammaproteobacteria; Enterobacterales; Budviciaceae.
CACCGACAUCAGGGAUUCGUUCUGCGAACCUUGGCCCACCGCUAAAUAGGCGUUCAUGCCCAGCUCUUUCAUCUGCUGUUCGCCGAUCACGCGCGUGGCCAUGCUGUCGCUGUAGGCGUCCGCUAACUGACGCGCCUGAGAGGCCAGAUAGGCUGCGUUACAAAUGUUCGGCGGCAUGUUGCCCAGAUCUUUCGC